This is a long non-coding RNA of Homo sapiens (human), 1388 nucleotides long. RefSeq lists it as uncharacterized. The transcript has 2 exons. Lineage: Eukaryota; Metazoa; Chordata; Mammalia; Primates; Hominidae. The record is from RefSeq and is a predicted model, not a curated record.
ACUUGUCUCAGAAAAAAAAAUAAAAACAAAAAAAGAAGCUGCUGAGAGCAGGCAAAUGGAAGCCCAGAGGGAGAAACGCCCGCACGAAACCAGGAGUCUGUGUUUGUUUAGCAAACAGAGCCUGCUCUUUGGGUCAGAGGGAACCAUGUGGUUGAGCCGUGAGCUUCCUCUUGCAUCUCACUUCCGCCAGUGCUCGUCUCAGAGGGCGGUGGCUGAUCCCUGGCUGAGACCAACCCACUCGUUCCAUAAACUCACACGCCCCCCGCACGGGGCGUCCUCCUCCUCAACAAGAACCCAGGAUGCCAGGCAUCAAUGCCUGCGGAGACCCGAGUCCGGGAGGGAUCCCGACCCAGCCCCUGCCUGGCGUGUGUCAAGUCUUGAGGUGAGCCCUAAGGGGACCCCACCGCUGGUCACAGCAGAAAGGCAGCAGCUGAGAGGUGACAGCGUCAGAUCCUACCUGAGAAGGUGCCCUCUCUCCUGGCUAAGAAGCACCCCUGUCACAUGCGCCUCACGAUGCGGCUAUGCUAUUAAUCCCGGUCCAAGAGGUCCAGAGAGGGUGAGGAACUGACCCAAGGCCACCCAGCUGAGUCUGACCCUGGGCCUAGCCUUGGCUCCAGGGCUGACACGGAGACCUCAACUCUUCCCCCUCACCACCAUCCGAGUCCCCUGAGGGUGGGGUGCCUCACUCCUGCAGCAGCAGACCAGGGAACUUGUUACAGAUGCAGAUUCUCAGGCUGACCUGGGAGGGUCAGAGUCAGAUGUUCCGGGCAGGACUCGGAUCUGGAUUUAACAGGCCUGACAACGGAGCCUCGAGUCCUGCUCGAGGGAGAAGACCUGCAAUUCCAGAACCCACGCGACGGGCCAGGCACGGGCAGCUUUGGAAACACAGAUUCCUGGGGCCUGCAAAGACCUACAGAACAGGAAUCUGGGGUGCAGGAUUUUUUCUUUUUUUAGCUGGAGUUUCACUCUUGUUACCUAGGCUGGAGUGCAAUGGCGCAAUCCUGGCUCACCACAACCUCCGCCUCCCAGGUUCAAGCGAUUCUCCUGCCUCAUCCUCCUCAGUAGCUGGGAUUACAGGCAUGUACCACGACGCCCAGCUAACUUUCUUUUUUUCUUUUUUUUUUUUUUCAGUAGAGACGGGGUUUCUCCAUGUUGGUCAGGCUGGUCUCGAACUCCCGACCUCAGGUGAUCCGCCUGCCUUGGCCUCCCAAAGUGCUGGGAUGACAGGCGUGAGCCACCGCCCCCGGCCGGGGGAUAUUUUUCACAGCUCUCCAGGGCGGUGAGACCUUCACAGCAGAGGUCAAGGUCGUUCUGGGUGAAUGUACAUUCCGGAUUCUUGCAUUUCACUGUAUGUAAAUUUCACCUCAAAAGAAACAACUAUAAACAAA